This 253-nucleotide unclassified non-coding RNA is filed under the name uncultured Gammaproteobacteria bacterium. RNAcentral describes it as "contains 16S-23S intergenic spacer region". It matches the Rfam family "Bacterial small subunit ribosomal RNA", at positions 524 to 776 of the family's 1533-position model. The record is from RNAcentral. Lineage: Bacteria; Pseudomonadati; Pseudomonadota; Gammaproteobacteria.
UACAGAGAGUGCAAGCGUUAAUCGGAAUUACUGGGCGUAAAGCGCACGUAGGCGGACAUUUAAGUCGGAUGUGAAAGCCCUGGGCUUAACCUAGGAAUUGCAUUCGAUACUGAGUGUCUAGAGUAUGGUAGAGGAAAGCGGAAUUUCCGGUGUAGCGGUGAAAUGCGUAGAUAUCGGAAAGAACACCAGUGGCGAAGGCGGCUUUCUGGAUUAAUACUGACGCUGAGGUGCGAAAGCGUGGGGAGCAAACAGG